Molecule: ribosomal RNA, 614 nt
Filed under: uncultured fungus
Lineage: Eukaryota; Fungi
Description: eukaryotic LSU rRNA
Rfam family: Eukaryotic large subunit ribosomal RNA
Source: RNAcentral
GCAUAUCAAUAAGCGGAGGAAAAGAAACCAACAGGGAUUGCCCUAGUAACGGCGAGUGAAGCGGCAACAGCUCAAAUUUGAAAUCUGGCUCUUUUAGAGUCCGAGUUGUAAUUUGCAGAGGGCGCUUUGGCAUUGGCAGCGGUCCAAGUUCCUUGGAACAGGACGUCACAGAGGGUGAGAAUCCCGUACGUGGUCGCUAGCCUUUACCGUGUAAAGCCCCUUCGACGAGUCGAGUUGUUUGGGAAUGCAGCUCUAAAUGGGAGGUAAAUUUCUUCUAAAGCUAAAUACUGGCCAGAGACCGAUAGCGCACAAGUAGAGUGAUCGAAAGAUGAAAAGCACUUUGGAAAGAGAGUUAAAAAGCACGUGAAAUUGUUGAAAGGGAAGCGCUUGCAGCCAGACUUGCCUGUAGUUGCUCAUCCGGGUUUCUACCCGGUGCACUCUUCUAUAGGCAGGCCAGCAUCAGUUUGGGCGGUUGGAUAAAGGUCUCUGUCAUGUACCUCCUUUCGGGGAGAACUUAUAGGGGAGACGACAUGCAACCAGCCUGAACUGAGGUCCGCGCAUCUGCUAGGAUGCUGGCGUAAUGGCUGUAAGCGGCCCGUCUUGAAACACGGACC